AAGUCGUAACAAGGUUUCCGUAGGUGAACCUGCGGAAGGAUCAUUACCAAAUCCAAAUACACAACCCCAUGUGAUCUAUUGUUUAGUCUGUCUUUGGGAGGUUUUCUAUUUUUUUUUCUUUUUUGUUUUUUUCUUACAGAAGAAAAUAAAAGGGAGUAAAAGAAAUAUAUUGCCUCCCAAAAGAAUCCGGCAUACAUUUUUUGUGUGUUCCAGAUUCUUUGAAACAAACCUUUAAACCACUUGAUUCUUUGUUGGAAUUUUACUUUUUAUUAAUUUAUUAAAUAAAAGACAACUUUUAACGGCGGAUCUCUUGGCUCGUG
RNAcentral lists this unclassified non-coding RNA (320 nucleotides) under fungal sp. RNAcentral's name for it is "partial internal transcribed spacer region". The stretch from base 1 to 46 matches the Rfam family "Eukaryotic small subunit ribosomal RNA", at positions 1786 to 1831 of the family's 1831-position model. Lineage: Eukaryota; Fungi. The record is from RNAcentral.